CGCGUAGGCGGUCAGGUAAGUGGAAUGUGAAAUGCCCCGGCUCACCCGGGGACCGGCAUCCCAAACUGCCUGGCUUGAGUAUGGGAGAGGAUGGAGGAAUUCCUGGUGUAGCGGUGAAAUGCGUAGAUAUCAGGAGGAACACCGGUGGCGAAGGCGUCCAUCUGGCCCAAUACUGACGCUGAGGCGCGAAAGCUAGGGGAGCAAACG
RNAcentral lists this ribosomal RNA (207 nucleotides) under uncultured Latescibacterota bacterium. RNAcentral describes it as "uncultured Latescibacteria bacterium partial 16S ribosomal RNA". It matches the Rfam family "Bacterial small subunit ribosomal RNA", at positions 568 to 774 of the family's 1533-position model. Lineage: Bacteria; Pseudomonadati; Candidatus Latescibacterota. The record is from RNAcentral.